RNAcentral lists this transfer RNA (73 nucleotides) under Zingiber officinale. It matches the Rfam family "tRNA". From Rfam's summary of the family: Transfer RNA (tRNA) molecules are approximately 80 nucleotides in length. Their secondary structure includes four short double-helical elements and three loops (D, anti-codon, and T loops). The record is from Rfam by way of RNAcentral. Lineage: Eukaryota; Viridiplantae; Streptophyta; Magnoliopsida; Zingiberales; Zingiberaceae.
GUUGGGAUACCUCAGUUGGUAGAGCAGAGGACUGAAAAUCCUCAUGUCACUAGUUCAAAUAUGGUGCUUGACA